Molecule: long non-coding RNA, 349 nt
Filed under: Malus domestica (apple)
Lineage: Eukaryota; Viridiplantae; Streptophyta; Magnoliopsida; Rosales; Rosaceae
Description: long non-coding RNA (MDOM_LNC008195)
Source: RNAcentral
CAAUGACUCCAGACUAGUCACUCUCACUAAGAGAAGACAUAGCAUGUACUGAUCUUAACAGACUGUCAAUGCCCAAUUAGCAAUCCUAUGAUCAGGAACGUUUAGGAUAUGUAUACGAAAGAGAAUGGUCUCAUUAAUCUAACUUGUUUAAAUCACAUUAUCCUAAUUACAUAUUCCCUGGACUUAUCGUUUAAGCAUAUAACAUUUAUAUGAGACGGCUUAAAACAAUAAUCUUUGCCCUUGAUAUUAAACUAGAUUAGUUUAACAUGUGAAAUGUUCGUAAAGUAUCAUCAUAUGAUUGGUUUUAGGGCACAUUUCCAACAAUCUCCCACUUGCACUAGAGCCAAUC